AGUGCAUGUGGUGGAUGCCUUGGCAGUCAGAGGCGAUGAAAGACGUGAUAGCCUGCGAAAAGCUCCGGGGAGGCGGCAAAUAUCCUUUGAUCCGGAGAUGUCUGAAUGGGGGAACCCACCUACUUUAAGGUAGGUAUUGCAACAUGAAUACAUAGUGUUGCAAGGCGAACGAGGGGAAGUGAAACAUCUCAGUACCCUUAGGAAAAGAAAUCAAUUGAGAUUCCCUCAGUAGCGGCGAGCGAACGGGGAUCAGCCCAUUAAGUUAUGUGUGUUUUAGUGGAACGCUCUGGGAAGUGCGAACGUAGAGGGUGAUAUUCCCGUACACGAAAGGGCACACAUAAUGAUGACGAGUAGGGCGAGGCACGUGAAACCUUGUCUGAAUAUGGGGGGACCAUCCUCCAAGGCUAAAUACUCCUGACUGACCGAUAGUGAACCAGUACCGUGAGGGAAAGGCGAAAAGAACCCCUGUGAGGGGAGUGAAAUAGAUCCUGAAACCGCAUGCAUACAAGCAGUGGGAGCACCUUUGUGGUGUGACUGCGUACCUUUUGUAUAAUGGGUCAGCGACUUAUAUUCAGUAGCGAGGUUAACCGUAUAGGGGAGCCGUAGAGAAAUCGAGUCUUAAUAGGGCGUUUAGUUGCUGGGUAUAGACCCGAAACCAGGCGAUCUAUCCAUGAGCAGGUUGAAGGUUGGGUAACACUAACUGGAGGACCGAACCCACUGUCGUUGAAAAGCCAGGGGAUGACUUGUGGAUAGGGGUGAAAGGCUAAUCAAGCCUGGUGAUAGCUGGUUCUCCCCGAAAGCUAUUUAGGUAGCGCCUCGGACGAAUACCAUAGGGGGUAGAGCACUGUUUCGGCUAGGGGGUCAUCCCGACUUACCAAACCGAUGCAAACUCCGAAUACCUAUGAGUACUAUCCGGGAGACAGACUGCGGGUGCUAACGUCCGUAGUCAAGAGGAAAACAAUCCAGACCGCCAGCUAAGGCCCCAAAAUCAUAGUUAAGUGGGAAACGAUGUGGGAAGGCAUAGACAGCUAGGAGGUUGGCUUAGAAGCAGCCACCCUUUAAAGAAAGCGUAAUAGCUCACUAGUCGAGUCGGCCUGCGCGGAAGAUGUAACGGGGCUAAAACUAUGUGCCGAAGCUGCGGAUGUAUACUUUGUAUACGUGGUAGGGGAGCGUUCUGUAAGCCGAUGAAGGUGUGUUGAGAAGCAUGCUGGAGGUAUCAGAAGUGCGAAUGCUGACGUGAGUAACGACAAAACGGGUGAAAAACCCGUUCGCCGAAAGACCAAGGGUUCCAGUCCAACGUUAAUCGGGGCUGGGUGAGUCGACCCCUAAGGCGAGGCCGAAAGGCGUAGUCGAUGGGAAAAUGGUUAAUAUUCCAUUACUUCUGUGUAAUGCGAUGAGAGGACGGAGAAGGCUAAAUCAGCCUGGCGUUGGUUGUCCAGGUGAAAGGAUGUAGGCAUGUAUCUUAGGCAAAUCCGGGGUACUCUAUGCUGAGAUCUGAUAGCAAGCUGUACUUGUACAGCGAAGUGGUUGAUGCCAUGCUUCCAGGAAAAGUCUCUAAGCUUCAGUUACACAGGAAUCGUACCCGAAACCGACACAGGUGGUCAGGUCGAGUAGACCAAGGCGCUUGAGAGAACUCUGCUGAAGGAACUAGGCAAAAUGGUACCGUAACUUCGGGAGAAGGUACGCUGUUGUUGGUGAUGGAACUCGCUUCCUGAGCUGACGACAGCCGCAGAAACCAGGCCGCUGCAACUGUUUAUUAAAAACAUAGCACUCUGCAAACACGAAAGUGGACGUAUAGGGUGUGAUGCCUGCCCGGUGCUGGAAGGUUAAUUGAUGGGGUUAGCGUAAGCGAAGCUCUUGAUCGAAGCCCCAGUAAACGGCGGCCGUAACUAUAACGGUCCUAAGGUAGCGAAAUUCCUUGUCGGGUAAGUUCCGACCUGCACGAAUGGCAUAAUGAUGGCGGCGCUGUCUCCAGCAGAGGCUCAGUGAAAUCGAAAUCGCUGUGAAGAUGCAGUGUACCCGCGGCUAGACGGAAAGACCCCGUGAACCUUUACUGCAGCUUGACACUGAACUUUGACCUUACUUGUGUAGGAUAGGUGGGAGGCUUUGAAGCUGGAACGCUAGUUCCAGUGGAGCCGUCCUUGAAAUACCACCCUGGUAAUGUUGAGGUUCUAACUCUGUCCCGUGAUCCGGGACGAGGACCGUGUCUGGUGGGUAGUUUGACUGGGGCGGUCUCCUCCUAAAGAGUAACGGAGGAGUACGAAGGUGCGCUCAGCGUGGUCGGAAAUCACGCGUAGAGUAUAAAGGCAAAAGCGCGCUUAACUGCGAGACCCACAAGUCGAGCAGGUACGAAAGUAGGUCUUAGUGAUCCGGUGGUUCUGUAUGGAAGGGCCAUCGCUCAACGGAUAAAAGGUACUCUGGGGAUAACAGGCUGAUACCGCCCAAGAGUUCAUAUCGACGGCGGUGUUUGGCACCUCGAUGUCGGCUCAUCUCAUCCUGGGGCUGAAGCAGGUCCCAAGGGUAUGGCUGUUCGCCAUUUAAAGAGGUACGCGAGCUGGGUUUAGAACGUCGUGAGACAGUUCGGUCCCUAUCUACCGUGGGCGCUGGAAAUUUGAGAGGAUCUGCUCCUAGUACGAGAGGACCAGAGUGGACGAACCUCUGGUGUACCGGUUGUGACGCCAGUCGCAUCGCCGGGUAGCUAUGUUCGGAAGGGAUAACCGCUGAAAGCAUCUAAGCGGGAAGCCUACCUCAAGAUAAGAUUUCCCUAGGACUUUAUGUCCUCUAAAGAGCCGUUCGAGACUAGGACGUUGAUAGGUUGGAUGUGGAAGCAUAGUGAUAUGUGAAGCUGACCAAUACUAAUUGCUCGUGAGGCUUGACU
RNAcentral lists this ribosomal RNA (2878 nucleotides) under Acinetobacter baumannii. RNAcentral describes it as "bacterial LSU rRNA". It matches the Rfam family "Bacterial large subunit ribosomal RNA". Lineage: Bacteria; Pseudomonadati; Pseudomonadota; Gammaproteobacteria; Moraxellales; Moraxellaceae. RNAcentral also lists the same sequence under 1 other name. The record is from RNAcentral.